RNAcentral lists this ribosomal RNA (612 nucleotides) under uncultured bacterium. RNAcentral's name for it is "bacterial SSU rRNA". The stretch from base 1 to 524 matches the Rfam family "Bacterial small subunit ribosomal RNA", at positions 338 to 873 of the family's 1533-position model. The record is from RNAcentral.
CCUACGGGAGGCAGCAGUGAGGAAUUUUCCGCAAUGGGCGAAAGCCUGACGGAGCAAUACCGCGUGAGGGAUGAAGGAUUUUGGUCUGUAAACCUCUUUUCUCAAGAAAGAAGUUCUGACGGUACUUGAGGAAUAAGCAUCGGCUAACUCCGUGCCAGCAGCCGCGGUAAUACGGGGGAUGCAAGCGUUAUCCGGAAUGAUUGGGCGUAAAGCGCCUGUAGGUUGUUUAUUAAGUCCGUUGUUAAAGCCUAGGGCUCAACCCUAGAAAAGCAAUGGAAACUAGUAGACUAGAGUAUGGCAAGGGUAGAGGGAAUUUCUAGUGUAGCGGUGAAAUGCGUAGAUAUUAGAAAGAACACCGGUGGCGAAAGCGCUCUACUGGACCAUUACUGACACUCAGAGGCGAAAGCUAGGGUAGCAAAAGGGAUUAGAUACCCCUGUAGUCCUAGCCGUAAACGAUGGAUACUAGAUGUUGUGCAUAUGUACAGUAUACGUAGUACUACGUACGUUAACGUACCCGUACCGUCGGGUAGGUACGUCGUCGCGAGGUAGGAACGUACAAAGGAAGUUAGUACGGCGUGAGACGUGCCGAACGGACGACACGAGGGAGGUAGG